This 73-nucleotide transfer RNA is filed under the name Camelus bactrianus (Bactrian camel). It matches the Rfam family "tRNA". From Rfam's summary of the family: Transfer RNA (tRNA) molecules are approximately 80 nucleotides in length. Their secondary structure includes four short double-helical elements and three loops (D, anti-codon, and T loops). Further hydrogen bonds mediate the characteristic L-shaped molecular structure. tRNAs have two regions of fundamental functional importance: the anti-codon, which is responsible for specific mRNA codon recognition, and the 3' end, to which the tRNAs corresponding amino acid is attached (by aminoacyl-tRNA synthetases). tRNAs cope with the degeneracy of the genetic code in two manners: having more than one tRNA (with a specific anti-codon) for a particular amino acid; and 'wobble' base-pairing, i.e. permitting non-standard base-pairing at the 3rd anti-codon position. Lineage: Eukaryota; Metazoa; Chordata; Mammalia; Artiodactyla; Camelidae. The record is from Rfam by way of RNAcentral. RNAcentral also lists the same sequence under 2 other names.
GAGGGUAUAGCUCAAGUGGUAGAGUGCAUGCUUAGCAUGUGUGAGGUCCUGGGUUCAAUCCCCAAUACCUCCU